CCUACGGGCGGCAGCAGUGAGGAAUAUUGGUCAAUGGACGAGAGUCUGAACCAGCCAAGUAGCGUGAAGGAUGACUGCCCUAUGGGUUGUAAACUUCUUUUAUCAAGGAAUAAAACGAGGCACGUGUGCCUUUUUGCAUGUACUUUAUGAAUAAGGAUCGGCUAACUCCGUGCCAGCAGCCGCGGUAAUACGGAGGAUCCGAGCGUUAUCCGGAUUUAUUGGGUUUAAAGGGAGCGUAGAUGGGUUGUUAAGUCAGUUGUGAAAGUUCGCGGCUCAACCGUAAAAUUGCAGUUGAUACUGGCAGUCUUGAGUACAGUAGAGGUAGGCGGAAUUCGUGGUGUAGCGGUGAAAUGCUUAGAUAUCACGAAGAACCCCGAUUGCGAAGGCAGCUUACUAAAGUGUGACUGACAUUGAUGCUCGAAAGUGUGGGUAUCGAACAGGAUUAGAUACCCUUGUAGUC
Molecule: ribosomal RNA, 460 nt
Filed under: uncultured bacterium
Lineage: Bacteria
Description: partial 16S ribosomal RNA
Rfam family: Bacterial small subunit ribosomal RNA
Source: RNAcentral